AUGGCGGCGCCGGCGUCCUCGGCCCCGCCGAAGAAGAUCGUGGCGCCCACCGUGUCGCAGAUCAACGCGGAGUACGUGACCCAGUUAGCAAACAAAUACUGGGCUCCACACGUGAAGAAAAAAUUGUCUUUUGAGUCAAAGGUUAUUGAAGAUGUAUAUACAAAAGAAAUUGUCAGGUCAAAGUUUGCUAUUAGAAAGAUAAUGCUUCUUGAAUUCAGCCAGUACCUUGAAAAUUACCUGUGGAUGAAUUAUUCUCCAGAGGUGUCCAGUAAGGCAUAUUUAAUGUCAAUCUGCUGUAUGGUGAAUGAGAAGUUCAGAGAGAAUGUCCCUGCGUGGGAGACAUUCAAAAAAAAGCCAGAACACUUUCCCUUCUUUUUCAAAUGCAUACUGGAAGCAUCGCUGGUUGAAAAUGAUAGUGAAUAUUCUCUGCACGAACAGACAGUCCUGCUGCUUUUCCUUGAUCACUGCUUCAAUAGUUUGGAAGUGGAUUUGAUCAGAGGUCAGGUGCAGCAGCUCAUUUCCUUACCAAUGUGGAUGGCUCUACAACCUAAACGACUGGAACAAGAGCUGAAAAAGACACCAAAGCUAAGAAAAUUCUGGAAUCUAAUUAAGAAAAAUGAUGAGAAAAUGGAUGAGGAGACAAGAAUGCGAGCAUAUCGGGAGAGAAGAUUUCUUUCACAGCUCAUUCAGAAAUUCAUUUCUGUGCUAAAAUCAAUACCAGUCUCAGGUCCUAUUUCUAUGGACAAAGUUCAUUAUUGUGAGAGAUUCAUUGAACUCAUGCUAGAUCUUGAGGCUUUGCUUCCCACACGGCGCUGGUUUAAUACAGUGUUGGAUGACUCCCAUCUUGUUGUUCACUGUUACCUCUCCAGUCUUGCUAAAAGAGAGAAGGAGGGUCAUCUCUUCUGCCAGCUUUUAGAUAUGCUUAAAUUCUACACUGGCUUUGAAAUCAAUGAUCAGACUGGAAAUGCUUUGACGGAGAAUGAGAUGACAACAAUUCACUAUGACAGAAUUACUUCUCUACAGAGAGCAGCAUUUGCACAUUUCCCGGAGUUAUAUGACUUUGCACUCUCAAAUGUAGCUGCAGUAGAUACUCGUGAUUCACUGGUGAAGUUAUUUGGACCCCUUAGCUCAAAUGUUCUUCACCAGGUGGCGUCAUACCUCUGCCUGCUGCCACCCCUUCCGGAAGGGGAAGACUCGAGCUACGAGAAGGAGUUUCUGCUGGAGUUGCUGGUUUCCCGUCAUGAGCGACGAAUAUCUCAAAUUCAACAACUCAACCAGAUGCCUCUUUAUCCCACAGAGAAGAUUAUUUGGGAUGAAAAUAUUGUACCAACUGAAUAUUAUUCUGGAGAAGGCUGUCUUGCACUUCCCAAAUUGAAUCUGCAGUUUCUGACUCUUCAUGACUACCUGCUGAGGAACUUCAAUCUUUUCCGCUUAGAGUCUACCUACGAGAUUAGACAAGACAUUGAAGAUAGUGUCAGUAGGAUGAAACCAUGGUUAUCGGAAUAUGGAGGUGUGGUCUUUGGUGGAUGGGCUAGGAUGGCACAACCCAUUGUCUCUUUCACAGUGGUGGAGGUGGCAAAACCCAAUAUUGGUGAAAACUGGCCCAUGCGAGUACGAGCAGAUGUUACAAUUAAUUUGAAUGUCCGAGAUAACAUCAAAGAUGAAUGGGAAGGUCUGCGUAAACAUGAUGUCUGCUUUUUGAUUACGGUACGUCCCACGCAACCUUAUGGCACCAAGUUUGACCGACGACGACCUUUUGUUGAGCAAACUGGCCUGGUAUAUGUCAGAGGCUGUGAAAUCCAGGGCAUGUUGGAUGAGAAAGGACGUGUUAUUGAAGAAGGACCUGAACCCAAACCAAGGCUUAAAGGGGAUUGCCGAACAUACAGAGUAUUUCUGGACCCAAACCAGUAUCAACAAGACAUGACCAAUACAAUCCAAAAUGGAGCAGAAGAUGUUUAUGAGACAUUUAAUAUAAUAAUGAGAAGAAAACCAAAAGAAAACAAUUUCAAGGCUGUUCUGGAGACUAUUAGGAAUUUGAUGAACACAGAUUGUGUUGUUCCUGACUGGCUACAUGACAUCAUUCUUGGAUAUGGAGAUCCAAGCAGUGCACACUAUUCAAAAAUGCCAAAUCAGAUUGCAACUCUGGAUUUUAAUGACACUUUCCUGUCCAUUGAUCACUUAAAAGCUAGCUUUCCUGGAUACAACAUUAAAGUGACUGUUGACAAUCCUGUUCUGCAAAUACCCCCCUUCAGGAUAACUUUCCCAAUAAAGGGAGGCAAAGGAAAGAAAAGAAAAGAGGAUGGGAAUGAAGAAAAACCUGAAGAAGCUAAAACACUGAUUGUAGAGCCUCAUGUCAUUCCAAACAGGGGACCAUAUCCAUAUAAUCAACCAAAACGCAAUACAAUUCAAUUUACCCAUACUCAGAUUGAAGCUAUACGUGCAGGAAUGCAGCCUGGGUUGACUAUGGUAGUGGGUCCACCUGGUACUGGAAAAACUGAUGUAGCAGUCCAGAUAAUAUCCAAUCUUUAUCAUAAUUUCCCAGAACAACGAACUCUUAUAGUUACCCACUCUAAUCAGGCCUUGAACCAGCUGUUUGAAAAAAUCAUGGCCCUAGACAUUGAUGAGCGCCACCUCCUGCGUCUGGGUCAUGGAGAAGAGGAAUUGGAGACAGAGAAAGAUUUCAGCAGGUAUGGAAGAGUUAAUUAUGUGCUGGCUCGAAGACUUGAACUUCUGCGAGAAGUUGGACGACUGCAAGAGAGUCUUGGAGUCCCAGGAGAUGUUUCUUACACUUGUGAAACAGCUGGACACUUUUUCUUAUACCAAGUAAUGUCUCGUUGGGAGGAGUAUAUCAGCAAAGUGAAAGUUAAAGGUGGAAAAGUGCCAGAUGUUACGGAUGUCUCCAGUUUGUUUCCUUUUCAUCAGUAUUUUGCAAAUGCUCCUCAACCAAUUUUCAAAGGCAAAUCCUAUGAAGAAGAUAUGGAAAUUGCUGAAGGGUGUUUUAGACAUGUUAAGAAAAUAUUCACUCAGCUUGAGGAAUUCAGAGCAUUUGAACUUCUCCGCAGUGGCCUGGAUAGAUCCAAAUACCUGUUGGUGAAAGAAGCAAAAAUCAUUGCCAUGACUUGUACUCAUGCUGCUCUGAAACGACAUGACCUGGUUGAAUUAGGUUUCAAAUAUGACAACAUCUUAAUGGAAGAGUCUGCUCAGAUUCUGGAGAUAGAAACCUUUAUACCUCUCCUGUUGCAGAACCCCCAGGAUGGAUUCAGUCGUUUGAAGCGGUGGAUUAUGAUUGGUGACCAUCAUCAGUUGCCACCAGUCAUUAAGAACAUGGCUUUUCAAAAAUACUCUAACAUGGAGCAGUCUCUUUUUACACGGUUUGUUCGUGUUGGAGUGCCAACUGUUGAUUUGGAUGCACAAGGAAGAGCAAGAGCAAGUUUAUGUAACCUGUACAACUGGCGUUACAAGAAUCUGGGUAACCUGCCUCACGUGCAGCUUCUGCCAGAAUUCAGAACAGCCAAUGCUGGGUUUUUGUAUGACUUCCAGCUUAUAAAUGUAGAAGACUUCAAUGGUGUGGGAGAGUCUGAACCCAAUCCUUAUUUCUAUCAGAAUCUUGGUGAAGCUGAGUAUGUUGUGGCACUCUUCAUGUAUAUGUGCCUGCUUGGUUAUCCUGCAGACAAGAUAAGUAUCCUGACAACAUACAAUGGUCAGAAACACCUGAUCCGUGAUGUCAUUAAUCAGCGGUGUGGAAAUAAUCCACUGAUUGGACGGCCAAACAAGGUAACAACUGUGGACAGAUUUCAAGGUCAACAAAAUGAUUAUAUUCUCCUUUCACUAGUGCGUACCAAAGCUGUAGGCCACCUUAGGGAUGUCCGACGAUUAGUUGUUGCCAUGUCAAGAGCCAGGCUUGGGCUUUAUAUCUUUGCAAGAGUAUCGCUGUUUCAGAACUGUUUUGAGCUAACUCCAGCUUUCAGCCAACUCACAGCUCGACCACUUCACCUCCAUAUCAUUCCCACAGAAUGUUUUCCAACGGCAAGACAGAAUGGAGAAAGACCAUCUCACCAAAUACAUGUUAUUAAGAACAUGCCUCAAAUGGCUAACUUUGUGUACAAUAUGUAUAUGCACAUGAUACAGAGUACACGCCACUACCAACAGCAUUUACUGCCCCCACCUGCCAUGAUUGAAGAACCAGAAACUACUCAAACUCAAGAGACUGAAGUAGAAGGUGAGGGGCAAAGCAUGCAGGAAGAUGCUGAAGGAGAAGAAAAUAAGGCCCCAGGUAUAUGUGAUCGCUUCUGGCUCAGUCUUUGUAGAACAACGGCCAAGUAUAGAGUUGUCCUAGACGUCAGUGUUGCCCUAAAAUGACUGGCUUUUACUGAUACCUUACCAUAUAUUGGUCUGGAUUUUCUCAUCUCUGUCAGCGUGUAGCAGUGAAAAAUCAUGUGGAGUGGAAGGCCAGAAGAUACUUCAGCGAUGGGGCAGUUGUCCUAGAUUGCUCCCUGCUCCCGCGACGUUCACCCACUGGCGUUCUGUCAGUCUGAGCUGCGUAAUGAGAUGAGGCACUGAGGACAGCUGCUGCUCCUGACUCAUCUUAGCGCUCGGUCCCAUGCACAGUACCUUCCUGUGACUCUAAGCUGAAGCAGUCAUUAUAAAUCGGAAAGAAAAACGGAGCAAACCCAGUGGAUUUAGUGUUUUAAGUUUUAUUUAUUAAAACACAAAUACCAGUGGAAAUAUAGGUGCAUACCUUGUGUAGUGGUAAAUUUAUAUAGAGAAAGUUGAUCCUUAAGAGAAUGUCUUACUAUAAUCACAAAUGUGCUAUGCUUAAUUUUGUCAGUAUGAAACUUGAUCUUUUACUUAAUACAAGGUAAAGGCUAUUCUGUAAACUACUAGAUUACACCAGGACUUUAAAUGGUUUUGCUAUUCAGUAUACAGAACUAUGAAUGAAUACACCCCCAUGCUUUCUACCUAUGGGAAUAUAUGAAAAGCCUUUCAACUUAAACAAUGUAAUGCCCUUUUAAGUGGUGUUUUGGCAUCUCAUUUCCCCAAAAAUGGUUUGCCCUGCAAAUUUAAGUUACUCUAUUUGGAUUUCUUUUUUUAUAUUUAGAAAUUAUGUCUUGCAGUGUUCCAAGAAGAAUACAGUGGAAUAAAGAGCCGAUAUAAGUUAUUGCUAAUGCUCCUGUACCAUGGAGGAGGAGGUGUGGAGAAGGCAAUCCCUGUCCUAGGUUUCUGAAUUCUGCCAGCAAAGGAGACUCCUAGAGGAGAGCAUGUUCCAUUCAAGCUAAUGAGAGUUUGGGUCAAUAAUUUUUAUCUUAAUCCUCCUAGACUUUAGCUAAAGAUGCCAAGUUUACAUACAUACAAAUACAAAGCUGUCCUAAAAAUUGCUAUCCAAACUUUUGUCUAAGGGAUUGCACGACUGGGUAACUGGGACCUGGAAGGCAAUAGGUAGAAACUGGUGGGACCAUUAGAUCAGAGGUGUAAUAAGCAUAGUAUGCCAUGAGCAUAUUAUGAGGAGAUGACGUGUAACAUGUAGCAGUGAGCUAAAUACAUACCUCAGUGUUUUAGCUUUAAUCUGUGAAUGUAACAAUAGUUCCAUGUUUCUUCUAGCAAGAUCUUUUAAAUGAAUUAGAAACGCAUCUGCUUUGAUCAAAUAUUUUCCCAGUUGGCACCUGUCUCCGCCUCAGGCUACCUUUCUCCUUCACGAAGGGAGGGAAGCGACGGUGUUCGUGACUCUUCUCACGCUCGUGCCUGCAGAGCAAAGCUCUCUUCCUCAAGUCAACCAGAAAAGCCUUAGUGGGAAUCUUCCCUUACCCUCUACCUUCAGAUAUGGGCUCACUGCCUCAGUUUGCUGGCGGUGGCACCUUUUUUCCCCUACUUGGUAACUGUUUGCUGGAUGAGUUUUGCUGCUUUUUGCUGCAGCUUUUUGCAAUCUGGAUAUGGCCUCCCCAGUUGAGGGGAAAGGCAUAAGCCUUGCUUGCAUUUUGGACUGGUUAUGGUAUGCCUCUGAAAGGCGUAAUGUGAAAAAAGAACACAUGUGCUUAUAUGUAGAAAUUUGUGUUAGGGUAAUUGGCCUAAAUUGCGAAACCGCCAGUAACCUAAUUAGCCACUGCCCGACUCUGAAUGUAGGCCACGGACAUCAAGGUCUUCCCUGAGCCAUGCAACCCUUUGGGAUUCGGUAGGAGCUAUGUGCAGAUUUCAGGUUACAGUUUUAGAUUUUGAUGUUAACGUGCCAUUGUAGUCACAAAAUUUUUUCUGUUGGUUUUUUUAGGUCUAGCUCUAGGCUGUAUAGAUAUCAGUAGAUGGAGAAAAGCCAGUCUUGCAGCACCCUUUCAAAUCAGCAGUCUUGGAGGCAAGUAACAAUUAUUCAUAGCAAUCUUUUUGGUAAUUCUAAGAAAAGACUGGAACAUAUUCAUAGUGUUUUCAUUAAAUUUUGUGGACUAUCAGCAUUUCAGAUACUCUAGUAAAACCUGCUUAAAAUAGGGAAGUCAUUCAAUAGAACAACAAAGACUGUACUUUCUUGUCUUGUUCUAGCUUGAAGCCAGAUUUAGGACAUCUUGAAUAUAUUGGCAACUGAGAUGUUUGAAGACAGUUUUAAUUAGCUAUUUAGCUAGUUUGUUUAUGAAAGAUGAUCAGAAAUUGAGCACUAAUUUGCAGUAUUAUUUCAAUAAGUACAUGUUCAGAGUGAAGAUUAGACUGUUUGUUUUCUAGUGGAAGAAAAACAACAAAUCAUCUGCAACUGAAUUUUAAGGGCCUGCGCAGCAAAGGCAAGACUGAAGAUACAGCGCCACUCUUUUGCUAUGUCCUGUGCAGUUUCUUUAUUUGAAUUCAUUCUUCUGCUUAAGUUGACUGGGUGUUUAAAAUUUCAGCUGGCAAGCUGUCAGGCUUGCCAGCAGCAUUAUAACUGAAUAUCAUGACAUCCAUAUACUUACAUUUUCCACCAUAAUACUCGUUUAGCAACCUCAGUGCUGAAAAAAAAUAUGGAGAAAACCCACUUCUUCAUAUACGCUGUGAAAAAAAUGUUGACAUAAUUCAGAUGUAAUUUUGACAUAAUUCAGAUCACCAUGUAUUUAGCUGAAGAUGUUUUGUUAAACUAAAUGCUCAAAUAAUUUUGUGACUGAGGCUUUCUUUGAGAUAUAUAGGUAACAAGAAAGUUACUUAGAAUAUCUUACAGCGCUUCACCCUGAUGUGAUUUAAUAUAGCCUAAGUGGAUUUUACCAGAAUUUUCUGAAGCAUAAACAUAGCUGAAUUAUAAAAAGCUGCCUAUAAAACAGCAUUUGUAAGCUGUCUUUUUAAAAAUUACCAAACAUGCUAAGAGAAACACACACUGAAAAUUCCUUGGAAAUUAUGGAAUGUUCUUGUUUUCUAACAAAAAGAUGGGAAAGACAAAAUAAAGGAAAUUGGAGGAUUUGAGGAACAUCUGAAGUGCUUGUGUAACAGAUACAAACAGAAACCUUCCCACAGGGAUUUUGGGACUCAUGUUUUCCUCCCUGUUUUGGUUCUUUGCUGCUUCUAUUGUAUGCCUGUUCCAAAAUGCACUCUUUUCUACUGGGCACAGUGGAGUUUUCUGUAAGAUCGCUGCAAAACUUUUCUAGCCAUCCUUAUUUCUCUCUCCCUGUCAUGGAAGGAUGGGGGAACCGCAUGUGUAAUAUCUCUAGGAUAUGCCAGGUCUCUCCUCCAAAAGUUUUCACUAAUCAAAACGUGACAUGCACAUGCAUUAGUGUCUACCUUUAGUUUCCCUGUUUUCAUGCUUUUUGUGGUCGAGAGCAGAAGAUGCUUACCGUACCAACUCAAAUGCAGCUGCCAAAACCACGGCUAAGGCUGGAAGCUGCAUCUUCAGCUCUGCGGCAGAGGUGACACACCACGGCUUUAACGCAGGGCAGCCGGCAGUUCCCCUCGGGAUGUGCAGUCUCUGGCUGAUGGUGACUUCGACACACUUCUGUCCUUGCCCGGCAGCUCCAGCCAGCCCAGCCACCCCGUUGGGAUUACGUGAGCUGGCGCAAAGGCAGUUUCUCCCAAGGUUGCGGGUUUAUGGGUGUGAACGGCAGGCUUAGGGGUGCCUCAAUUCCUGCGAGAGGUUUGCUGCCUGCCGUGAUCCCUCCGUUCCUUGCAGCCCACCCCAGACCUGAGCCACUUGCUGAGGCCGCGUCUGUCGCUGUGGGCACGUCCCUGUCCUGGUACGGUGCGGUUGGUCGUGUUCAGGUGGCGAAAGAGGAGACGAGGGCUUUUGUCAAACAACGUAUUCACCUUGCUUUCCUCCUUUGGUGAAGGCCUGGCAGAGGAAAUCUGAUCAUUUAAAAAGCCAGACAGUUGUGCUGUAAAGAAAGGUAAGGCUGUUUUCCAUGUAUUUUUCUGCUUUUACUGAUAUUGAGCAGUUCAUGUACUUUUCAGUAUUAUAUCAUAAAUAUAGCAUAAAUUCACCUAAUAAAUCCACAUCAUCCUUUCCCUGACCUCUAUUAUAGUCUCUUUCUAAACAGGAACAGUAAAAGCGAUGUUAUUAGGUUAGUUAUGAAAAAGUAGUGUGAUUGGUAUGAAAUUAGUCUGUGGGCAACACUAGGUAGAGUUGGAUUGUUCAAGAAAACAUUCUUUCUGGUCAUAUUUGAAAUGUUUUCUAAACAGAACUUGGCUGAAGAAAUGGAACUGUUUAGGUUGCCCAUAGAUCCAGAAUUACUGUUAUUUUUCAUGACGUUGUUUACUCUGUCAUGAUUUUAAAGCAGUGCCUGCUGCCAUGUUGUUCAUGUAUUUUAUUAGCAUCUCAAUUAAAGCAACCCAUUUAACUCAAUAAUAUUGUGCUACCCUCAAUGAUCACUCAUUAGACUGAGUAAUACUGUUUUUUACUACCUUGACUUUGCUUCUUUUUCUCUCUCCUUGAUGUUUAACCACUUUAUCACUCUGUAUAUAUGGUUGUUUAACAGGAGUCCUUUGAUAACCAAGGUGUGCACAUAGUAAAUGCUUGGUUUUCAUUUUUAAAAGAAUUU
Molecule: RNA transcript, 8966 nt
Organism: Haliaeetus leucocephalus (bald eagle)
Lineage: Eukaryota; Metazoa; Chordata; Aves; Accipitriformes; Accipitridae
Gene: AQR
Gene name: aquarius intron-binding spliceosomal factor
Exons: 38
Source: RefSeq, a predicted model, not a curated record